AACGAACGCUGGCGGCAUGCCUAACACAUGCAAGUCGAACGAGAUCUUCGGGUCUAGUGGCGCACGGGUGCGUAACGCGUGGGAAUCUGCCCUUUGGUUCGGAAUAACAGUUGGAAACGACUGCUAAUACCGGAUGAUGACGAAAGUCCAAAGAUUUAUCGCCAGAGGAUGAGCCCGCGUAGGGUUAGCUAGUUGGUGUGGUAAAGGCGCACCAAGGCGACGAUCCUUAGCUGGUCUGAGAGGAUGAUCAGCCACACUGGGACUGAGACACGGACCAGACGCCUACGGGGGGCAGCAGUGGGGAAUAUUGGACAAGGGGCGAAAGCCUGAUCCAGCAAUGCAGCGUGGGUGAUGAAGGCCUUAGGGUUGUAAAGCUCUUUUACCCGGGAUGAUAAUGACAGUACCGGGAGAAUAAGCUCCGGCUAACUCCGUGCCAGCCGCCGCCGUAA
This 449-nucleotide ribosomal RNA is filed under the name uncultured bacterium. RNAcentral's name for it is "partial 16S ribosomal RNA". It matches the Rfam family "Bacterial small subunit ribosomal RNA", at positions 29 to 523 of the family's 1533-position model. The record is from RNAcentral.